CUCUGUACUCUCCAUUGCAUGCCAGCUCAGCUAGGCAUCCUUUGCAUGCCUACGAGUUGUUGUGCGCUGCCUUGUUCCUACAUCCCAUGCUCCCAUGCACGUUGCCACCAUGGCCACAAGCUCAGGCACCACCACUGGCGGAGCAAGAGCACGGGCAGUCGGCACCGUCUCCGUCUUAUCCAAGGAAGCAAAGCGACCAAGAGCAUGCUGCUACCUGUCGCCAAGGCCAGGGACCCCAAACAAAGGAACGUGGAGUGCAGCAUCAAGUCCGUGGCACAAAACCCGCAAACAGUGGAAGGAUGCCAAGCCAAAUCAACAAGGAACGAAGAAUGCACAGGAGAUAUGGGGAUGCGAUGAAAUUCUUGCAUAAGCAGCACCCCCCCCCACUAUCCUCUGCUUUUUCUUCACUUCAACUUGCAAAGAGCAACCCUNNN
RNAcentral lists this long non-coding RNA (434 nucleotides) under Hordeum vulgare. RNAcentral describes it as "long non-coding RNA (HVUL_LNC017549)". The record is from RNAcentral. Lineage: Eukaryota; Viridiplantae; Streptophyta; Magnoliopsida; Poales; Poaceae.